Molecule: ribosomal RNA, 468 nt
Filed under: uncultured bacterium
Lineage: Bacteria
Description: partial 16S ribosomal RNA
Rfam family: Bacterial small subunit ribosomal RNA
Source: RNAcentral
GACGAACGCUGGCGGCGUGCUUAACACAUGCAAGUCGAACGGAAAGGCCCUGCUUUUGUGGGGUGCUCGAGUGGCGAACGGGUGAGUAACACGUGUGUAACCUGCCCUAGACUUUGGGAUAACUUCAGGAAACUGGGGCUAAUACCGGAUAGGAGCUCCUGCUGCAUGGAGGGGGUUGGAAAGUUUCGGCGGUUGGGGAUGGACUCGCGGCUUAUCAGCUUGUUGGUGGGGUAGUGGCUUACCAAGGCUUUGACGGGUAGCCGGCCUGAGAGGGUGACCGGCCACAUUGGGACUGAGAUACGGCCCAGAGUCCUACGGGAGGCAGCAGGGGGGAAUAUGGCACAAUGGGCGGAAGCCUGAGGCAGCGACGCCGCGUUCGGGAUGACGGCCUUCUGGUUGUAAACCGCUUUCGCCUGUGACGAAGCGUGAGUGACGGUAAUGGAUAAAGAAGCACCGGCUAACUACGUG